Molecule: small RNA, 132 nt
Filed under: Salmonella enterica
Lineage: Bacteria; Pseudomonadati; Pseudomonadota; Gammaproteobacteria; Enterobacterales; Enterobacteriaceae
Also listed under: 3 other names
Description: RtT sRNA
Rfam family: RtT RNA
About the family: This family represents a bacterial cis-regulatory element known as RtT RNA. The exact function of RtT is unknown although it is thought that it may be involved in changing the cellular response in relation to amino acid starvation.
Source: RNAcentral
GUUUGCACUUGUCGGGGAAGGGUGAGAACCUUCGAUUAAGGUUCGACUCGAGCGAAAGCGAGAGAACGUUGCCAACGGCAAUGGCCCGUAGGGUGAGGAGCGAAGCGACGAAUAAUCCUUCCCCCACCACCA